GACGAACGCUGGCGGCGUGCUUAACACAUGCAAGUCGAACGGAAAGGCCCUGCUUGCAGGGUACUCGAGUGGCGAACGGGUGAGUAACACGUGGGUGAUCUGCCCUGCACUUCGGGAUAAGCCUGGGAAACUGGGUCUAAUACCGGAUAGGAGCCAUUUUUAGUGUGAUGGUUGGAAAGUUUUUUCGGUGUAGGAUGAGCUCGCGGCCUAUCAGCUUGUUGGUGGGGUAAUGGCCUACCAAGGCGGCGACGGGUAGCCGGCCUGAGAGGGUGGACGGCCACAUUGGGGCUGAGAUACGGCCCCGACUCCUACGGGGGGCAGCAGUGGGGAAUAUUGCACAAUGGGCGCCAGCCUGAUGCAGCGACGCCGCGUGGGGGAUGACGGCCUUCGGGUUGUAAACUCCUUUCGCUAGGGACGAAGCUUUUUGUGACGGUACCUAGAUAAGAAGCACCGGCUAACUACGUG
Molecule: ribosomal RNA, 465 nt
Filed under: uncultured bacterium
Lineage: Bacteria
Description: partial 16S ribosomal RNA
Rfam family: Bacterial small subunit ribosomal RNA
Source: RNAcentral